RNAcentral lists this ribosomal RNA (234 nucleotides) under uncultured Chthonomonadales bacterium. Its description in RNAcentral is "partial 16S ribosomal RNA". It matches the Rfam family "Bacterial small subunit ribosomal RNA", at positions 355 to 603 of the family's 1533-position model. Lineage: Bacteria; Bacillati; Armatimonadota; Chthonomonadia; Chthonomonadales. The record is from RNAcentral.
UCGGGAGUCUUGCACAAUGGGGGAAACCCUGAUGCAGCGACGCCGCGUGCGGGAUGAAGUCCUUCGGGACGUAAACCGCUUUUGUCCGGGAAGAAGACAGUGACGGUACCGGACGAAUAAGCCCCGGCUAACUACGUGCCAGCAGCCGCGGUAAAACGUAGGGGGCGAGCGUUGCCCGGAUUUACUGGGCGUAAAGCGCGCGUAGGCGGCUGCGUAAGUGGGGAGUUAAAGCCC